AACUCUUAGCGGUGGAUCACUCGGCUGGUGCGUCGAUGAAGAAUGCAGAGAACUAAUGUGAACUGCAGGACACAUUGAUCAUCAACACUUUGAACGCACCUUGAGGCCCAAGGUUCCUCCUGGGGCUAUGCCUGUUUGAGGGUCG
Molecule: ribosomal RNA, 145 nt
Filed under: Hucho hucho (huchen)
Lineage: Eukaryota; Metazoa; Chordata; Actinopteri; Salmoniformes; Salmonidae
Description: 5.8S ribosomal RNA (ENSHHUG00000026278.1)
Rfam family: 5.8S ribosomal RNA
About the family: 5.8S ribosomal RNA (5.8S rRNA) is a component of the large subunit of the eukaryotic ribosome. It is transcribed by RNA polymerase I as part of the 45S precursor that also contains 18S and 28S rRNA. Functionally, it is thought that 5.8S rRNA may be involved in ribosome translocation.
Source: Rfam by way of RNAcentral